UUGCCAUGAAGAUUAUUGUGCUCCAUGUGAUGUUGGGUCGUCACAGCCGUUCGAUAACUUUCGAAUUAUAAAGCACAUCUGAGCAA
Small nucleolar RNA from Erigeron canadensis, 86 nucleotides. RefSeq annotates it as small nucleolar RNA snoR114. The record is from RefSeq and is a predicted model, not a curated record. The transcript has a single exon. Lineage: Eukaryota; Viridiplantae; Streptophyta; Magnoliopsida; Asterales; Asteraceae.